Small nucleolar RNA from Tupaia belangeri (northern tree shrew), 75 nucleotides. The record is from Ensembl. Lineage: Eukaryota; Metazoa; Chordata; Mammalia; Scandentia; Tupaiidae.
AGUUGCUGACAAGUUGGUAUGUAUUCAGAAUCUAAAGUUGAUUCUACUUUAGCUCUAGAAUUACUCCAAGACCUG